RNAcentral lists this ribosomal RNA (253 nucleotides) under uncultured bacterium. RNAcentral describes it as "partial 16S ribosomal RNA". It matches the Rfam family "Bacterial small subunit ribosomal RNA", at positions 524 to 776 of the family's 1533-position model. The record is from RNAcentral.
UACGAAGGGGGCUAGCGUUGCUCGGAAUGACUGGGCGUAAAGGGCGCGUAGGCGGUUCGUACAGUCAGACGUGAAAUUCCCGGGCUCAACCUGGGGGCUGCGUUUGAUACGUGCGGGCUCGAGUUCGGAAGAGGGUCGUGGAAUUCCUGGUGUAGCGGUGAAAUGCGCAGAUAUCAGGAGGAACAUCGGUGGCGAAGGCGGGUCUCUGGGCCGAUACUGACGCUGAGGAGCGAAAGCGUGGGGAGCAAACAGG